This 667-nucleotide long non-coding RNA is filed under the name Malus domestica (apple). Its description in RNAcentral is "long non-coding RNA (MDOM_LNC019289)". The record is from RNAcentral. Lineage: Eukaryota; Viridiplantae; Streptophyta; Magnoliopsida; Rosales; Rosaceae.
AUAAUUUGGGUUACUCCUAACAGCUAACCUGACCCCAAAACGACUAUAGGGCCUCGCCCUACACAUGGUAAUUCAAAUCCAAUGCUAAUUUUUGGCAUUCUAAAUAAUUUUAACUUGAAUGUUAUUAUUAUUUUUUGCUUCUACGAUCGACCCCGAAUGGUCCUGAUCUAUUGAAUUAAUUAAAAAUGACCUACAGUGCAUUAAUCUGAUAAUGAAUCCAAAAUUAUUGACUUGAAGAUCACUUUUGGACAUUAACGAUUCAAUAAUUUAUUUUUAUACUUUGAACUGUUGACUUACUUUCUUAGUAACGAAGCUCACACACUUAAGUUCCUGAAGAAACUCAAAUCCACUACGCUUAGUUGUAUAUUGCAUUUUGUGUUCUUACAGGACCUCUCUUUUAUGAACUAAAUGUUCAUAAACUAAAUUGAACCUGUAGUUUCAAAUUUAGUGCCUUUGAAACCCGAAAUUUUCAUAAAAAAAUACACCCAUGAAAACUCGAUGUUAUUCAUGAAAACCAUGUCUUAGAGCUCGAAUGUUCUAACUUUGAUGCUUAUGGAUGAUUCAUUCCCAUAACACCAAUCACAGUCUUGUUCCCUCCAAUUUAGUGGAUUGUCGAACAGUCACAAGUUUGAUUUUCCCUGAUUUGGAUGUUUCUAAUAAAAACAAC